UGCGUAGGCGGCGAUUCAAGUCAGAUGUGAAAUGCCUGAGCUCAACUGAGGCAUUGCGUUUGAAACUGAAUUGCUAGAGUAUCCUAGGGGUGUGCGGAACUGCCAGUGGAACGGUGAAAUGUGUUGAUAUUGGCAGGAACACCGGAGGCGAAGGCGGCACACUGGGGGAUAACUGACGCUGAGGCACGAAAGCCAAGGGAGCGAACG
This 207-nucleotide ribosomal RNA is filed under the name uncultured bacterium. RNAcentral's name for it is "partial 16S ribosomal RNA". It matches the Rfam family "Bacterial small subunit ribosomal RNA", at positions 568 to 774 of the family's 1533-position model. The record is from RNAcentral.